This 790-nucleotide ribosomal RNA is filed under the name Cytophagaceae bacterium. Its description in RNAcentral is "partial 23S ribosomal RNA". It matches the Rfam family "Bacterial large subunit ribosomal RNA", at positions 1 to 824 of the family's 2925-position model. Lineage: Bacteria; Pseudomonadati; Bacteroidota; Cytophagia; Cytophagales; Cytophagaceae. The record is from RNAcentral.
GGGUUGUGAGGUUAAGCGACUAAGCGUACACGGUGGAUGCCUAGGCAGUCAGAGGCGAUGAAGGGCGUGCUAAUCUGCGAAAAGCGUCGGUAAGGUGAUAUGAACCGUUACAACCGACGAUACCCGAAUGGGGAAACCCAGUGUGUUUCGACACAUUAUCAUUACAUGAAUACAUAGUGUAAUGAGGCGAACCGGGGGAACUGAAACAUCUAAGUACCCCGAGGAAAAGAAAUCAACCGAGAUUCCCCCAGUAGCGGCGAGCGAACGGGGAAGAGCCCAGAACCAGAAUCAGCGUAUGUGUUAGUGGAAGCGUCUGGAAAGUCGCACAGUAUAGGGUGAUAGUCCCGUACACAAAAAUGCAUACGUUGUGAGUUCGAUGAGUAGGGCGGGACACGUGACAUCCUGUCUGAAUAUGGGGGGACCAUCCUCCAAGGCUAAAUACUCCUGACUGACCGAUAGUGAACCAGUACCGUGAGGGAAAGGCGAAAAGAACCCCGGCGAGGGGAGUGAAAUAGAACCUGAAACCGUGUACGUACAAGCAGUGGGAGCCUACUUUGUUGGGUGACUGCGUACCUUUUGUAUAAUGGGUCAGCGACUUAUAUUUUGUAGCAAGGUUAACCGAAUAGGGGAGCCGUAGGGAAACCGAGUCUUAACUGGGCGUCAAGUUGCAAGGUAUAGACCCGAAACCCGGUGAUCUAGCCAUGGGCAGGUUGAAGGUUGGGUAACACUAACUGGAGGACCGAACCGACUAAUGUUGAAAAAUUAGCGGAUGACCUGUGGCUGGGGGUGA